UACGUAGGGUGCAAGCGUUGUCCGGAAUUAUUGGGCGUAAAGGGCUCGUAGGCGGUCUGUCACGUCGGGAGUGAAAACUCAGGGCUUAACCCUGAGCCUGCUUCCGAUACGGGCAGACUAGAGGUAUGCAGGGGAGAACGGAAUUCCUGGUGUAGCGGUGAAAUGCGCAGAUAUCAGGAGGAACACCGGUGGCGAAGGCGGUUCUCUGGGCAUUACCUGACGCUGAGGCGCGAAAGCGUGGGGAGCGAACAGG
RNAcentral lists this ribosomal RNA (253 nucleotides) under uncultured bacterium. Its description in RNAcentral is "partial 16S ribosomal RNA". It matches the Rfam family "Bacterial small subunit ribosomal RNA", at positions 524 to 776 of the family's 1533-position model. The record is from RNAcentral.